GGAGUAGGCGAGGUGGUUGCUCCUUCUUCCCAUCAGAGGGGAGGGGGGGAGGAAAGUCCGAACUCCAAAGGGCAGGAUGGUCGCUAACAGCGACUCCGAGCGAUCGGAGGAAAGUGCCACAGAAAAGACACCGCUUUGAACAACCGGUUCCGACCGUUGGUCAGAGCAAGGGUGAAAAGGCGAGGUAAGAGCUCACCGUUCUGGUGGUGACAUCAGAAGCAUGGUAAACCCCAUCCGGUGCAAGACCAAAUUGGCCCUGGUUGAGAUGGCCCGUCUCAGGGGGCGGGUGGGUCGCUAGACCUCUUGAGCAAUCAAGGGGCAAGAUAAAUAACCACCCCCGGCAAUCAACGGGAACAGAAUUCGGCUUACGACCUGCUCCAGCC
Molecule: RNase P RNA, 383 nt
Filed under: Candidatus Aminicenantota bacterium
Lineage: Bacteria; Candidatus Aminicenantota
Description: Candidatus Aminicenantes bacterium RNase P RNA component class A
Rfam family: Bacterial RNase P class A
About the family: Ribonuclease P (RNase P) is a ubiquitous endoribonuclease, found in archaea, bacteria and eukarya as well as chloroplasts and mitochondria. Its best characterised activity is the generation of mature 5'-ends of tRNAs by cleaving the 5'-leader elements of precursor-tRNAs. Cellular RNase Ps are ribonucleoproteins.
Source: RNAcentral